This 252-nucleotide ribosomal RNA is filed under the name uncultured bacterium. RNAcentral's name for it is "partial 16S ribosomal RNA". It matches the Rfam family "Bacterial small subunit ribosomal RNA", at positions 524 to 776 of the family's 1533-position model. The record is from RNAcentral.
UACAUGGGGUGCAAACGUUGCUCGGAAUUAUUGGGCGUAAAGCGCACGUAGGCGGUUUGUUAAGUCGGAUGUGAAAUCCCUCGGCUCAACUGAGGAAGUGCAUCCGAAACGGCAGGCUUGAGUACUAAAGAGGGUCGCGGAAUUCCCGGUGUAGAGGUGAAAUUCGUAGAUAUCGGGAGGAACACCGGUGGCGAAGGCGGCGACCUGGGUAGAUACUGACGCUGAGGUGCGAAAGCGUGGGGAGCAAACAGG